AUUGAACGCUGGCGGCAGGCCUAACACAUGCAAGUCGAGCGAGCGGCGGACGGGUGAGUAAUGUCUGGGAAACUGCCUGAUGGAGGGGGAUAACUACUGGAAACGGUAGCUAAUACCGCAUACCAUCAGAUGUGCCCAGAUGGGAUUAGCUAGUAGGUGGGGUAACGGCUCACCUAGGCGACGAUCCCUAGCUGGUCUGAGAGGAUGACCAGCCAAACUGGAACGGAGACACGGUCCAGACGCCUACGGGAGGAGGCAGUGGGGAAUAUUGCACAAUGGGCGCAAGCCUGAUGCAGCCAUGCCGCGUGUGUGAAGAAGGCCUUCGGGUUGUAAAGUACUUUCAGCGGGGAGGCGUUACCCGCAGAAGAAGCACCGGCUAACUCCGUGCCAGCCGCCGCGGUAAUACC
This 407-nucleotide ribosomal RNA is filed under the name uncultured bacterium. Its description in RNAcentral is "partial 16S ribosomal RNA". It matches the Rfam family "Bacterial small subunit ribosomal RNA", at positions 29 to 527 of the family's 1533-position model. The record is from RNAcentral.